GUGGCGACCGGCGCACGGGUGCGUAACGCGUAUGCAACCUACCUAUUACAGAGGGAUAGCCCAGAGAAAUUUGGAUUAAUACCUCAUGACACUAUGAUAACACAUGUUGUUAUAGUUAAAACUCCGGUGGUAAUAGAUGGGCAUGCGUUAGAUUAGCUAGUUGGUAAGGUAACGGCUUACCAAGGCGACGAUCUAUAGGGGGUCUGAGAGGAUGGUCCCCCACACUGGAACUGAGACACGGUCCAGACUCC
RNAcentral lists this ribosomal RNA (251 nucleotides) under uncultured bacterium. RNAcentral's name for it is "partial 16S ribosomal RNA". It matches the Rfam family "Bacterial small subunit ribosomal RNA", at positions 88 to 339 of the family's 1533-position model. The record is from RNAcentral.